AACAUCGCCUAACCGUUGUCAUGUAAUAUUUCCCAGAGAAAAUGAUAUUACAUGUUUCGGGUAGGAGCUGUUCA
Caenorhabditis elegans is the source of this 74-nucleotide microRNA precursor. It matches the Rfam family "mir-246 microRNA precursor family". NCBI's taxonomy places the organism in Eukaryota, Metazoa, Nematoda, Chromadorea, Rhabditida, Rhabditidae. The record is from Rfam.